CCAGACUCCUACGGGAGGCAGCAGUGGGGAAUAUUACACAAUGGGCGAAAGCCUGAUGCAGCAACGCCGCGUGAAGGAAGACGGUUUUCGGAUUGUAAACUUCUGUUCUUAGUGAAGAAUAAUGACGGUAACUAAGGAGCAAGCCACGGCUAACUACGUGCCAGCAGCCGCGGUAAUACGUAGGGUGCGAGCGUUAUCCGGAUUUAUUGGGUUUAAAGGGUGCGCAGGCGGAGGUGCAAGUCAGCGGUCAAAUUGCGGGGCUCAACCCCGUACUGCCGUUGAAACUGCAUCCCUUGAGUGGGCGAGAAGUACGCGGAAUGCGUGGUGUAGCGGUGAAAUGCAUAGAUAUCACGCAGAACUCCGAUUGCGAAGGCAGCGUACCGGCGCCCAACUGACGCUGAAGCACGAAGGCGUGGGUAUCGAACAGGAUUAGAUACCCCUGUA
This 444-nucleotide ribosomal RNA is filed under the name uncultured bacterium. Its description in RNAcentral is "bacterial SSU rRNA". It matches the Rfam family "Bacterial small subunit ribosomal RNA", at positions 331 to 792 of the family's 1533-position model. The record is from RNAcentral.